GACGAACGCUGGCGGCGUGCCUAAUACAUGCAAGUCGAGCGAUCUAUUUGGAGGCUGCUCCCAAAAGGUAGCGCCGGAAGCGUGAGUAUAACGUGUGGAAAAUGUCUCUAAGAGUGGGGGAAAUUAGGGGAACCCGAGUUCUAAUAGGACAUAAUAACUGUCAACAUAAGUUUCAAGUUAAAAAGAUGCUAUUGCAUCAAUUAACAGAUGUACCGCGGUGUAUUAGCUAGUUGGUGAGGUAAAGGCUCACCAAGGCGAUGAUACAUAGCCGACCUGAGAGGGUGAUCGGCCACAUUGGGACUGAGACACGGCCCAAACUCCUACGGGAGGCAGCAGUAGGGAAUCUUCGGCAAUGGACGAAAGUCUGACCGAGCAACGCCGCGUGAGUGAAGAAGGUUUUCGGAUCGUAAAACUCUGUUGGUAGAGAAGAACGUUGGUGGGAGGGGAAAGCCCAUAAAGUGACGGUACCUAACCAGAAAGGGACGGCUAACUACGUG
Molecule: ribosomal RNA, 497 nt
Filed under: uncultured bacterium
Lineage: Bacteria
Description: partial 16S ribosomal RNA
Rfam family: Bacterial small subunit ribosomal RNA
Source: RNAcentral